RNAcentral lists this ribosomal RNA (477 nucleotides) under uncultured organism. Its description in RNAcentral is "partial 16S ribosomal RNA". It matches the Rfam family "Bacterial small subunit ribosomal RNA", at positions 333 to 801 of the family's 1533-position model. The record is from RNAcentral.
ACACUCCUACGGGAGGCAGCAGUGGGGAAUUUUGGACAAUGGGCGAAAGCCUGAUCCAGCAAUGCCGCGUGUGUGAAGAAGGCCUUCGGGUUGUAAAGCACUUUUGUCCGGAAAGAAAUCCUUGGCUCUAAUACAGUCGAGGGAUGACGGUACCGGAAGAAUAAGCACCGGCUAACUACGUGCCAGCAGCCGCGGUAAUACGUAGGGUGCGAGCGUUAAUCGGAAUUACUGGGCGUAAAGCGUGCGCAGGCGGUUUGCUAAGACCGAUGUGAAAUCCCCGGGCUCAACCUGGGAACUGCAUUGGUGACUGGCAGGCUAGAGUAUGGCAGAGGGGGGUAGAAUUCCACGUGUAGCAGUGAAAUGCGUAGAGAUGUGGAGGAAUACCGAUGGCGAAGGCAGCCCCCUGGGCCAAUACUGACGCUCAUGCACGAAAGCGUGGGGAGCAAACAGGAUUAGAUACCCCAGUAGUCCCAUGAU